GAAUAAUCAUUGAUUCGAAUUCGACAUCUGUGCUCCAAAGGGACAUACUGCAUAGCAUUAACAAAAUUCAGCAAGAACGAACACAUGUUUCAGCGUCCCAACAAGUGGGUGUUGAGCAGAAUCAAUGGCAAAGACCGAUUACUGAGGUUGGGAACUGCCCUCCGAAUUGGUUAAUUCAGAUUGCAAGUUCAGCUUAUGUAGGUAAUAUUGACUUCGACAAAGCGGAAUGGGCCGAGUCCAGACAAGCUGUAGACGAGGUUAUGGGAUGGGAUUCUUAAAGACUUACGAAAUCAAGCUCAAAACUACCAGGGGCUUCGAAUAGAUUCUUAUGUAAGGCAAGGAAGCUACAGGGAAGGUCUGAAGGUUUACAAGGCAGACGAGUUUGAUUCGAUGCUAGAAUUUCACAUUGAAGGACUAGAAAAUCGAAUUGUGCAGACACCGAUUUAUAGAAAUGGGAAAAUUAUCACAGCAUUUUGCUACUUAACGAUUUCUGGUUUAAGUAUUGGCAUGUUACAAAGAAUAUGUCUCGAACUCACGAACGCAGGAAUAUUUGAAGAUAUGGAUGGGAAAGUCUCCUUGUCUUCGAAGUUAAUUCAUGAAAAGGUUUUUGAGUCUAUGGUAGACAAGGCGAUCAAAACUCUUUCAAAGACACUACAAGAUACCAAACCCUGGGAUCAUAUGGCAGAAAGUUUUACAUUGACACGCAAAAUGAAUCCUCUCGCAAUAAACGUUACCAUUGAAAUGAAAUUUUAUGGCAGACUAUCUAAAGUCAUUGAUCUAGAUUUGGUACCUUCUUACCGUUUACAUUACGACACGACAACACGGUAUGAAGGUGUUCGACUAAACUGUCCAAUUCAUGCAAUUUGCAAAUGGGUCGAUGGUGAGGACUUGAAUCAGAACCUGAUCUGGAGUCCAAAAUCCACGGGAUAUGAAAUGCAUAUUUUUGAUAUUGCCAGGAAGGACCAAAGAAAGCUUUACAUUCUUACAGCGUUGCGAAUCAUAAAGACAUAUUUGGUUAAAACGAAAGAGAUUGCGAAAGCGGCAGGCCAUCCGCCACCUCAGAUAACAACUGUUCUGAAGUCGUACCACUUGAGGCAGAUUGCAUUUUACGCCAUGUACUACUUGUUUCAUAAACACCCGAAUUUCAGAUUAGAUUGUGCACACACUGCGUUAUUAUACUUUAUUGAUUUCUUACAAAUUGCCUUGAAAGCGAAGCGAUUGCCUCAUUUCUUCUUUUCCAGUAGAUUAGCUCAAGAUAUGCUAUUCUGAUCGUUGUGACGUGCAUUUGCGCUUUAAUC
Dreissena polymorpha is the source of this 1298-nucleotide long non-coding RNA. RefSeq lists it as uncharacterized. The transcript is spliced from 3 exons. Lineage: Eukaryota; Metazoa; Mollusca; Bivalvia; Myida; Dreissenidae. The record is from RefSeq and is a predicted model, not a curated record.